This 253-nucleotide unclassified non-coding RNA is filed under the name uncultured Alphaproteobacteria bacterium. RNAcentral's name for it is "contains 16S-23S intergenic spacer region". It matches the Rfam family "Bacterial small subunit ribosomal RNA", at positions 524 to 776 of the family's 1533-position model. Lineage: Bacteria; Pseudomonadati; Pseudomonadota; Alphaproteobacteria. The record is from RNAcentral.
UACGGAGGGUGCAAGCGUUGUUCGGAAUUACUGGGCGUAAAGCGUACGUAGGCGGCUUAUUAAGUCAGGCGUGAAAGCCCCGGGCUCAACCUGGGAACUGCGUUUGAUACUGGUAGGCUAGAGGCCUGAAGAGGAGAGUGGAAUUCCUAGUGUAGAGGUGAAAUUCGUAGAUAUUAGGAGGAACACCAGUGGCGAAGGCGACUCUCUGGUCAGGUUCUGACGCUGAGGUACGAAAGCGUGGGGAGCAAACAGG